CAUCGAUGAAGAACGCAGCGGACGGGCAUCGAUGAAGAACGCAGCGGACGG
Molecule: unclassified non-coding RNA, 51 nt
Filed under: soil metagenome
Description: partial internal transcribed spacer 1
Source: RNAcentral